UGAAGAGACUGCAAGACUUGAGAUCGGGUGAGGUUAAACGUACUUUCAGGGUACGGGUAAAAUCCUGUAGUCCCGGAAGGACGACCAGUGGCGAAAGCGUUUAACUAGAACGAAUCUGACGGUAAGGAACGAAGGCUAGGGUAGCAAACCGGAUUAGAUACCCGGGUAGUCCUAGCUGUAAACAUUGCCCAUUUGAUGUUGCUUUCCCGUUGAGGGAAGGCAGUGUCGGAGCGAAGGUGUUAAAUGGGCCGCUUGGGAAGUAUGGUCGCAAGACUGAAACUUAAAGGAAUUGGCGGGGGAGCACCGCAACGGGAGGAAUGUGCGGUUUAAUUGGAUUCAACGCCGGAAAACUCACCGGGAACGACCUGUGCAUGAGAGUCAACUUGACGAGCUUACUCGAUAGCAGGAGAGGUGGUGCAUGGCCGUCGUCAGCUCGUACCGUAGGGCGUUCACUUUAGUGUGAUAACGAGCGAGACCCACAUCUUUAAUUGCAAAUGUAUAUGGGAAUAUGCGUGC
RNAcentral lists this ribosomal RNA (516 nucleotides) under uncultured bacterium. RNAcentral describes it as "bacterial SSU rRNA". It matches the Rfam family "Archaeal small subunit ribosomal RNA", at positions 576 to 1092 of the family's 1478-position model. The record is from RNAcentral.